CUUAUAGAGAAUCUUGGAUAACUGAUUUGUGGUUUCAUGUUUCUAAAUUGGCAUGACUGACUAUAUGAGAAGUUAUGUCCUUCCAAGAAAAGGACUUACAGUCAACAAGAUUCCUUGUUUGCUAACCCGUUAUUGGCUGCUACCCUUGAAUCUCUCUAUUUGUCAACAACAAAAAAAGAGGUUAAAUAUUGUGAUCAUGCUAUCAUAAUUAUGUUGCCUAUAAGACCAAAUGUGGGGCAUCUGGUUAUCCCUCCGAAAUAAGGCAAUGACCACACGUUCAACGCGGAUGUCAUCGAACUUGACUCAUUCCAUCUUCUGGAUUGCUUAGGAAAGCUGAUUGGUGUUACCUGU
This 351-nucleotide long non-coding RNA is filed under the name Daphnia pulex (common water flea). RNAcentral describes it as "uncharacterized LOC124201108, transcript variant X2". Lineage: Eukaryota; Metazoa; Arthropoda; Branchiopoda; Diplostraca; Daphniidae. The record is from RNAcentral.